RNAcentral lists this ribosomal RNA (253 nucleotides) under uncultured bacterium. Its description in RNAcentral is "partial 16S ribosomal RNA". It matches the Rfam family "Bacterial small subunit ribosomal RNA", at positions 524 to 776 of the family's 1533-position model. The record is from RNAcentral.
UACGUAGGGUGCGAGCGUUAAUCGGAAUUACUGGGCGUAAAGCGUGCGCAGGCGGUUUUGUAAGCCAGAUGUGAAAUCCCCGGGCUUUACCUGGGAACUGCAUUGGUGACUGCAAGGCUUGAGUGUGUCAGAGGGAGGUGGAAUUCCGCGUGUAGCAGUGAAAUGCGUAGAUAUGCGGAGGAACACCGAUGGCGAAGGCAGCCUCCUGGGAUAACACUGACGCUCAUGCACGAAAGCGUGGGGAGCAAACAGG